RNAcentral lists this ribosomal RNA (473 nucleotides) under uncultured bacterium. RNAcentral's name for it is "partial 16S ribosomal RNA". It matches the Rfam family "Bacterial small subunit ribosomal RNA", at positions 30 to 507 of the family's 1533-position model. The record is from RNAcentral.
AGUGAACGCUGGCGGUAGGCCUAACACAUGCAAGUCGAACGGCAGCACAGUAAGAGCUUGCUCUUACGGGUGGCGAGUGGCGGACGGGUGAGGAAUACAUCGGAAUCUACUUUUUCGUGGGGGAUAACGUAGGGAAACUUACGCUAAUACCGCAUACGACCUACGGGUGAAAGCAGGGGAUCUUCGGACCUUGCGCGAUAGAAUGAGCCGAUGUCGGAUUAGCUAGUUGGGGGGGUAAAGGCCCACCAAGGCGACGAUCCGUAGCUGGUCUGAGAGGAUGAAAGGCCACACUGGGGCCGAGAUACGGCCCAGACGCCUACGGGGGGAAGCAGGGGGGAAGUUUGGACAAUGGGCGCCAGCCUGAUGAAGAGACGCCGCGUGGGGGAUGAAGGCUUUCGGGUUGUAAAAAACUUUCGCUAGGGACGAAGCUGUUUGUGACGGUACCUAGAGAAGAAGCACCGGCUAACUACGUG